This is a long non-coding RNA of Ictalurus punctatus (channel catfish), 2098 nucleotides long. The record is from Ensembl. NCBI's taxonomy places the organism in Eukaryota, Metazoa, Chordata, Actinopteri, Siluriformes, Ictaluridae.
AACAGAGCUAAACAGAACCAAACAGAACCAAACAGAGCUAAACAGAGCUAAACAGAGCUAAACAGAACCAAACAGAGUUAAACAGAGCUAAACAGAGCUAAACAGAACCAAACAGAGUUAAACAGAACCAAACAGAACCAAACAGAACCAAACAGAGUUAAACAGAGUUAAACAGAAGCUAACAGAGUUAAACAGAGUUAAACAGAACCAAACAGAACCAAACAGAACCAAACAGAGUUAAACAGAGUUAAACAGAGUUAAACAGAAACAAACAGAGCUAAACAGAGUUAAACAGAGUUAAACAGAACCAAACAGAACCAAACAGAACCAAACAGAGCUAAACAGAGUUAAACAGAGUUAAACAGAACCAAACAGAGCUAAACAGAGUUAAACAGAGUUAAACAGAGUUAAACAGAGUUAAACAGAACCAAACAGAACCAAACAGAACCAAACAGAGUUAAACAGAGCCAAACAGAACCAAACAGAACCAAACAGAGUUAAACAGAGUUAAACAGAGUUAAACAGAGUUAAACAGAACCAAACAGAACCAAACAGAACCAAACAGAGUUAAGCAGAGCUAACAGGAACUAACAGGAACAUGACCUUGCUGUAUAUUUACAGUUUAGUGAUCAGUGUGAGGUGAAACGUUUCUACACGUCUACAGCGGACCAGUCCGUCUGUUACAUUUUUCUCUUUAUUAUUAGUUUGUGGGGUUUUUUCAUUAUAUUUUAUAUCAUUUUUAUUAUUUUUAUUGUCUUUUUUGAUGUGUUUUUGUAUUUUUAAUCUAAAGUGAGCUUGUGCUCGCUGUAUAAAACUAUCAAAACAUUAUUAUUAUUAUUAUUAUUAUUAUUAUUAUUAUUAUUAUUACUGUUGUGAGCAGUAAAAACUAAAAUACAAGAACUAAAUGAAUUUUAAAAUUCAGUUAAAAAACACAAUUAAUUAAAAAGUAAGUAAAUAAAAAUAAUUCAGUUUUUUGGUUGUCAGAUGUUUUUGAUUAGAUAUUUUUGAUUAGAUGUUUUUGUUGUCAGUGUCACGUAUCGAGGUUGAGGCAGAAGCAAGUGCAGAUAAUGCGUUUAUUUAAACAAACGUGCUAUAAGACAAAGACACUAAGACAACGUGGUAUAACACUGCGGCAUGACACAAAACACCGAGACAUAAACUACAAGAGUCUAGGACAACGAAAGACACGCAAACACUGCAGACAUGGACUAUACACACACACACACACACACACACACACACACACACACACACACACACACACACACACACACACACACACACACACACACACGAGUGCUCAUUAACAAAACGUGAGUCAGGUGCAGGUGGUCAUGUGACAGCUAGUGCAGUGCAGUGGCUGAUGGGACGUGGAGUCCAGAGUUUCUUGAUACAUGACAGUCAAAUGUUUUUGGUUGUCAGAUGUUCUUGAUUAGAUAUUUUUGAUUAGAUGUUUUGGUUAUCAGAUGUUUUUGAUGAGAUGUUUUUAUUAGAUGUUUUUUAUUAGAUGUUUUUGAUGAGAUGUUUUUGAUGAGAUGUUUUUGGUUGCCAGAUGUUCCCUGGAGAACCUGCUGUUCUUCUACCUCUGCAGACAAAAUCUGCAGGCCUCCAUGAUGUGUGUAUUUUAUUUAUUCGUCUAUUUAUUUAUUUAUUAAAUCAGAAAUGUGGUAUAACAAAAUACAAAACGUUGUCUGGGACACGGUGUGUUUCAUUUGUCUGGGGGUUUUACUGCAAUUUUGGGAAAUCCUUUUUUUUCCCCCCCUGUUAAGCUCAUCUAUACGUAUUUAAAUAGGUAUACAAAUUUAUAUUUAAAAAAUGUAUUAGAAAUUUGGACUAUUACUUAACAAAAUACAAACAUUUCAAUACAGAUAUAAAAUGAUUAACCUGAAUGUUCAUUGCUGAUGUUUGUUGUUCUUCAUCGUUAUUAAAUGAAGAUCAGACGGACGCUAGAAUUAAUUUGUUGGUAUUUGUUGUAUAUUGUCUUUUUCCAGUGGUCCUGUGGCGUAGUGUUGGGGUUCUCUCUUUAUUUAUUAUUGAGAAGGGGAUUUUUCCCAUUCUUUCAUUUAGACUUGACGAAUUCCCGCCCACCCGUGACCUC